This 253-nucleotide ribosomal RNA is filed under the name uncultured bacterium. RNAcentral describes it as "partial 16S ribosomal RNA". It matches the Rfam family "Bacterial small subunit ribosomal RNA", at positions 524 to 776 of the family's 1533-position model. The record is from RNAcentral.
UACGAGGGGGGCAAAUGUUGUUCGGAAUCACUGGGCGUAAAGGGCGCGUAGGCGGGCUCUUAAGUAAGGUGUUUAAUCCCGGGGCCCAACCCCGGACCGGCAUUUUAAACUGGGAAUCUUGAAUAGUCGAGAGGUCGGUGGAAUUGGAGGUGUAGCGGUGGAAUGCGUAGAGAUCUCCAAGAACACCAGUUGCGAAGGCGGCCGACUGGACACAUAUUGACGCUGAGGCUCGAAAGCAUGGGGAGCAAACAGG